UAAGGAAUAUUGCGCAAUGGGGGAAACCCUGACGCAGCAACGCCGCGUGGAGGAUGACACUUUUCGGAGCGUAAACUCCUUUUAUCAGGAAAGAAUAAUGACGGUACCUGAUGAAUAAGCACCGGCUAACUCCGUGCCAGCAGCCGCGGUAAUACGGGGGGUGCAAGCGUUACUCGGAAUCACUGGGCGUAAAGGACGCGUAGGCGGAUUAUCAAGUCUUUUGUGAAAUCUAGUGGCUUAACCACUAAACUGCUUAGGAAACUGAUAGUGUAGAGUAGGGGAGAGGUAGAUGGAAUUCUUGGUGUAGGGGUAAAAUCCGUAGAGAUCAAGAAGAAUACCCAUUGCGAAAGCGAUCUGCUGGAACCUAACUGACGCUGAGGCGUGAAAGCGUGGGUAGCAAACAGG
Molecule: ribosomal RNA, 405 nt
Filed under: bacterium
Lineage: Bacteria
Description: partial 16S ribosomal RNA
Rfam family: Bacterial small subunit ribosomal RNA
Source: RNAcentral